Molecule: long non-coding RNA, 332 nt
Organism: Pelmatolapia mariae (spotted tilapia)
Lineage: Eukaryota; Metazoa; Chordata; Actinopteri; Cichliformes; Cichlidae
Exons: 3
Source: RefSeq, a predicted model, not a curated record
AAAUCAAGAGCGGCAUAGAAAGGCUAACUAGGCUCAUAAGAUGCUUCGGAGAUGAUAGCCCUACACAAAGGAAGAGGACAGAGGACCUCAUUUUCUAAAGGAAGAUCCCUCACACACUUUCAAGACUGUGAAGCCGACAGGUAUUGAAGACACGUUUUCUAAGAGGAUGAAAGUUGGCAUUGCGAUGGUGAAAGAAGAAGACAUCAUCGAUGUGUUGGUUGUCCUUGAGGCAGCAGUAAUCCUGUCUAAUCUGAGGGAUGUCUCAAGAGCCAUUUCCAUGCUGAUGGGCCUUCUUUUUGCCCUCAACAUACACUAUCCAAAGGAACUUAAGG